Molecule: non-coding RNA, 729 nt
Organism: Nicotiana tabacum (common tobacco)
Lineage: Eukaryota; Viridiplantae; Streptophyta; Magnoliopsida; Solanales; Solanaceae
Source: RefSeq, a predicted model, not a curated record
AUUAGUUUUUGAAGUUUGAAAUGUUCAAUUUUCUGUUUUUGCACUUGUUGAAGUAGUAAAAUAGUUUUGUAUUAAUAAAAGUGAGGUAGUGCAGAAUACUUAAGAGUAUAUGGUACUUGUUUGGUUGUUUAUUUACUGCUUCAAGACUCUUUGAGUACAAUACUCAAAAGUCAAAUUGUUUGGUAAGAAAAUGUAGACUUUUGGACAGUGUUUGAAUAAAAGUCUGUCUUUGAAUAGUGGAGAACGAAUUUUGUUUGAAAUACUUGACAAGAUUUGAACCAGAAAGUCUGGCCUUUUGAAUUUAAGAGCAGAUUUUGUAGAAGAUCUGUCAAAAAGAUUGAUUUUUAAUUUUUUAAAAUAGCUGGUUGUUUUGAUAUAUAAGGGGGACUCAAUCACACUUCCAGGGAGAGGGAAUAAUUGCUUUGAACACACAAAAACAUAAAAAUAAAAAAAAUCAGCAGUUGAACACAUGAAAAGUGAGCUGAAAUGGUGAGUUUUGGGAGUGAAUCUUAGAGUGCAAACUUUUAGAAAAGUAAUCCUUUAAGACUCGUAACGUACGUAUUUUCAGCAAUGGGAACAACUUGAACAUACUGCACCAUUUAAAUGUGUUUGAUAUGAUGAAUAAUUUGACAACAAAAGAGCUUGUAUGUUAUUGUUAUGUAUCAAGCAUGUGAUAAUGUGAAUAUAGUCCUUCAUAAUACUUGAAUAUUGAAUUGCAAGUUUUUUGAA